UACGUAGGGUGCAAGCGUUGUCCGGAAUUAUUGGGCGUAAAGAGCUCGUAGGCGGUCUGUCGCGUCUGCUGUGAAAACUCAGGGCUUAACCCUGAGCUUGCAGUGGGUACGGGCAGACUAGAGUGCGGUAGGGGAGACUGGAAUUCCUGGUGUAGCGGUGAAAUGCGCAGAUAUCAGGAGGAACACCGGUGGCGAAGGCGGGUCUCUGGACCGUAACUGACGCUGAGGAGCGAAAGCAUGGGGAGCGAACAGG
This 253-nucleotide ribosomal RNA is filed under the name uncultured bacterium. RNAcentral describes it as "partial 16S ribosomal RNA". It matches the Rfam family "Bacterial small subunit ribosomal RNA", at positions 524 to 776 of the family's 1533-position model. The record is from RNAcentral.